This 466-nucleotide ribosomal RNA is filed under the name uncultured bacterium. RNAcentral describes it as "partial 16S ribosomal RNA". It matches the Rfam family "Bacterial small subunit ribosomal RNA", at positions 339 to 795 of the family's 1533-position model. The record is from RNAcentral.
CUACGGGCGGCAGCAGACGAGAAUAGUCUACAAUGGACGAAAGUCUGAUAGUGCGACGCCGCGUGGAUGAAGAAGCAUUUCGGUGUGUAAAGUCCUUUUCUGUGUGAGCAAUGUUUUCCAGGUUAAUAGCUUGGAGAAAGCGAUAUUAACACAGGAAUAAGCUCCGGCUAACUCCGUGCCAGCAGCCGCGGUAACACGGGGGGAGCAAGCGUUGUCCGGAAUUACUAGGCGUAAAGGGUAAGUAGGCGGAAUUGUAAGUCAGAUGUUAAAGGCACCGGCUCAACCGGUGUAUGGCAUUUGAUACUGUAAUUCUAGAGUAAGGUGGGGGAAGACGGAAUUCCUGGUGUAGCGGUGGAAUGCGCAGAUAUCAGGAGGAACACCAGAGGCGCAGGCGGUCUUCUAUACCAUUACUGACGCUCAAUUACGAAGGUGUGGGUAUCAAACAGGAUUAGAUACCCCCGUAGUC